This 200-nucleotide long non-coding RNA is filed under the name Eucalyptus grandis. RNAcentral describes it as "long non-coding RNA (EGRA_LNC002280)". Lineage: Eukaryota; Viridiplantae; Streptophyta; Magnoliopsida; Myrtales; Myrtaceae. The record is from RNAcentral.
UCGAGGCCAGCAGACGCAGCAAGUCGCGGCCGAUCACGAAUCAAGCAGGAGUAACGACGUCUGGUUGCAGCAGUGGAGCUUCGGGCUGAGGGCAGAGCAGAAACGGCGUCGCGGGGACUCGGGAUCUGGUGCUCGGGCAGAGGUUCGGAGGUGGAGCGGCGAGGCGGCAGCGCUGGUGCACGGCUACUGGCGGAACGGCG